RNAcentral lists this ribosomal RNA (1356 nucleotides) under Triticum aestivum (bread wheat). Its description in RNAcentral is "partial small subunit ribosomal RNA". Lineage: Eukaryota; Viridiplantae; Streptophyta; Magnoliopsida; Poales; Poaceae. The record is from RNAcentral.
UACGGCCGAUGGGUCCGCCUGCACCGCGACAUCUACACCAAAGUGGCGGCCUAUCUACAGUACAGACGCCACGCCGUCAGACUGGAGCUCCUGCCUAACAUCAAGAGGUACGAGCGCCGCGCCAUGCGCGCCUUGAACAGAUCCGUCGAGAGCCUCUUGCAGCAAGGACCUCGCUCUCGCCGGGGGGUCCUCAAGAGGCUGAGUCUCGAGUUCUACACCACCGGCAACGGCUGCUGCAUGAACCGACUCAUCGCGGAGGCCAUCGAUGCCUGGGGCGUCGAUGACCUGGACGUCAUCGCCAAGCCACUGUACUUUGAGAUGGACGUCGUCCACGCCUUUCCCAGCCAUGGCAUGUGCAAGGACCCCGGCGCCGCAUCCCUGCGAAGCCUCAAGCUUGGGGGCUGCCUGCUCCCGCCGCUGCACGAGUACAGUGCGCUCACCAUGCUCGUCCUGCGAGACAUACCGGAAUCGAGGACGCCCCCGGCCGCCUACGAGGCUGUCUUCACCUCGUGCCCAAAGCUGCAGACCCUGCACCUCAUCUCCUGCAGCUGCAGGAGCACCGACUCGGGCACAACCUUGCCGGUGGUGGUGGACGCCCCCAGCUCAGAGAUCAGAGAGCUUGUCGUGGAGAAGUGCGCAUUUCAGUGGAUACGGCUGAGGACUCUCCCCUGUCUCGAGAGGCUAGCCUCCCUGGGAACCAGAGUCUUCUUCGAGUAUAAUAACUUGAUUCCCUCCCUGAGGCAAUGCAACUUCGCCCUGCGCCUCGGUGUCAUGCUAGAAGGCGCGCGCCAAUACUUUGCAAAGCGGCUGAAGCUAGAGCUUGGCAUGUUUCUUCGGUGCACCCCCAACAUAACCAGCCUCAUUGUCCGGUUCACCGGUCCUGACAGAUGGAUCGUGCCGUCUAGCUCCCCGUUGUCGCAUUUGCCUAACCUUAGGCGGCUGCUGGUGACCGAUGUGCCGUCUUCCUGGGAUGCCUCGUGGCCUCGUCUCUUUCUUGAGAUGACGCCUGCCCUGGAGAUCCUACACGUCAACAUUGCCUCCUGCAAGGACAAGCCUGGCAAAGAAAUUUCAUGGCAGCCCAGCGAGCUUCUGCAGCAUCACUUGAAGGAGUUUGUGGUUACUGGUUUCGAGGGAACCAAAAGGCAGAUUUACCUUGUCAAUUUCGCCGUCGGAGCAUGCACGGCGUUGCGCCGUGUCGCCUUGUUCAGGAACGGGCAUGCGCAGGGAAACGGGCUCUGGGACUGGGAGAUGGUGACGCAGCCACACUCGUGGACGGACGAGGAGAAGGACUACACGCUGAAGCAGAUCAUGGAUGGGGUUUCUUCCUCACCUGCCCAACAACUAGUUUUUGGCUGA